UGGGGCGUGGCCAAGUGGUAAGGCAACGGGUUUUGAUCCCGCUAUUCGGAGGUUCGAAUCCUUCCGUCCCAA
This 72-nucleotide transfer RNA is filed under the name Linum usitatissimum (flax). Its description in RNAcentral is "tRNA-Gln". It matches the Rfam family "tRNA". Rfam says of the family: Transfer RNA (tRNA) molecules are approximately 80 nucleotides in length. Their secondary structure includes four short double-helical elements and three loops (D, anti-codon, and T loops). RNAcentral also lists the same sequence under 4 other names. The record is from RNAcentral. Lineage: Eukaryota; Viridiplantae; Streptophyta; Magnoliopsida; Malpighiales; Linaceae.